RNAcentral lists this ribosomal RNA (495 nucleotides) under uncultured bacterium. Its description in RNAcentral is "partial 16S rRNA". The record is from RNAcentral.
GCACGGAGUUAGCCGGGGCUUCCUCCGGUGGUACAGUCAGGAGUGGAGGAUAUUAGCCCCCACCCGAUUCUUCCCACCUGACAGCCGAAGGCCUUCAUCACCCACGCGGCGUUGCUGCGUCAGGCUUUCGCCCAUUGCGCAAGAUUCCUCACUGCUGCCUCCCGUAGGAGUCUGGACCGUGUCUCAGUUCCAAUGUGGCCGAUCGCCCUCUCAGGCCGGCUACCCAUCGUCGCCUUGGUGGGCCAUUACCCCGCCAACUAGCUAAUGGGCCGCGGGCCCCUCCUCAAGUGAUAGCUUGCAAGCAUUGGCCAUCUUUGGUUCCCAGUCCCGAAGAACCGGGAGCUUUAUCCGGUAUUAGCCCACCUUUCGGCGGGUUAUUCCGAACUCGAGGGCAGGUUACCCACGUGUUACUCACCCGUUCGCCACUUUACCGGGGGUAUUGCUACCCCUUUCUCGUUCGACUUGCAUGUGUUAAGCACGCCGCCAGCGUUCGUU